ACGGAAUUGGACUAACCGCAUACACUAAAANAUAAGUAGAGUAGAGGAAAGUUUUUUCGCUUCACGAUGAGCCUGCGGCCUAUUAGCCUGUUGGUAGGGUAAUGGCCUACCAAAGCUACGAUAGGUAGCCGACCUGAGAGGGUGACCGGCCACAUUGGGACUGAGAUACGGCCCAGACUCCUACGGGAGGCAGCAGCUGAGAAUCUUCCACAAUGGACGAAAGUCUGAUGGAGCGACAUCGCGUGAGGGAUGAAGGCCUUCGGGUUGUAAACCUCGGAAAUUAUCGAAGAAUGAGUGACAGUAGAUAAUGUAAGCCUCGGCUAACUACGUGCCAGCAGCCGCGGUAAUACGUAGGAGGCAAACGUUGCUCGGAUUUAUUGG
Molecule: ribosomal RNA, 381 nt
Filed under: Brachyspira pilosicoli
Lineage: Bacteria; Pseudomonadati; Spirochaetota; Spirochaetia; Brachyspirales; Brachyspiraceae
Description: bacterial SSU rRNA
Rfam family: Bacterial small subunit ribosomal RNA
Source: RNAcentral